This 553-nucleotide ribosomal RNA is filed under the name uncultured bacterium. Its description in RNAcentral is "bacterial SSU rRNA". It matches the Rfam family "Bacterial small subunit ribosomal RNA", at positions 472 to 1024 of the family's 1533-position model. The record is from RNAcentral.
ACGGCUCCGUGCCAACAACCACCGGCUAACUACGUGCCCUCAGCCGCGGUAAUUUUACUGGUGCAAGCGUUAAUCGGAAUUACUGGGCGUAAAGCGUGCGCAAGCCGUUAUGUAAAACUGAGGUGAAAUCCCCGGGCUCAACCUGGGAACUGCCUUUGAGACUGCAUAGCUUGACUGCGGCAAAGGGGGAUGGAAUUCCGCGUGUAGCAAUGAAAUGCGUAAAUAUGCGGAUGAACACCGAUGGCGAAGGCAAUCCCCUGGGCCUGCACUGACGCUCAUGCACGAAAGCGUGGGGAGCAAACAGGAUUAGAUACCCUGGUAGUCCACGCCCUAAACGAUGUCAACUGGUUGUUGGGUCUUCACCGACUCCGUAACGAAACUAACACGUGAAGAUGACCGCCUGGGGAGUACGGCCGCAAGGUUAAAACUCAGAGGAAUUGACGGGGACCCGCACAACCGGUGGAUGAUGUGGUUUAAUUCGAUGCAACGCGAAAAACAUAUACCCACCAUUGACAUGUACAGAAUCCUUUAAAGAUAUAGGAGUGCUCGAAAG